AAACAGCCCCCGAAAACGCUACGUGAGCUGGGCCCUGGGCCAGAGGCAGAAAACGGACGGAAGAAAAGGUCUGGCCGGUAUCUAUGUUCCAAUCUUCAGCACUGUAUUAAAGAGAACAACUUGGAAAUGAGCUUAGGAUCCACAGGUCCUGGGAAAUAGCUUAGGACCCAUAGAUAAAGUUGGUGAAGAUAUUUCAAACGAAGUAUCUUCAAAGGAAUACUUCAAAGAAAAUAUAGCCCUUAUAUUAAGUAUAACUGUCAAUCGUAUUUUUAUGGUUAAUAGAUAAUAAAAACAAUUUAUUGUUAGAAAAUACAGAAAAAGUUAAAUAAUUAAAAUUGUACUUGCCUUUUCUUAAAGUAUCCAUGAGGAAAUAGUGUCAGGACUUACUUCCGUUCUAUUUCUUCAUCUCUUAGUCUUCUUUUCUUACUUCUGAAGAUUAGUUUUAGUAUUAGGAGCUGGUCAGUGGUCUCUGUUCUUGAGAAUAUUUGCCCUUUUGUGACUUCACCUUGUAACUUGCUUCUGAACUUGCAUAAAUAAUUCCUACAGGGAGGCCAGUCUGAAAGAGAGAGACCAUUCACCAAACAAAUGUGUAAUUCACUACCACAAUCCUGACUUCAGGACACUGUGACCCUCAACUUGUGUUAAGCUGAAACACAGUGGCAGGAUUCCUGUUAAAUUGGUACAUUUUCCAUUUGUGAAGUCAUCCUGAAGUUCUUGAUAGUCUUCGGCAUACCCCACAGUAGGAGUCUGAGAAUCUGAUCUCAGACUCCUAAAGAACUAUUCUGAAGUAAUAAGGACAAUUUAUACUUUAACAUUUCACAAAACAUCUCAGAUUGGAGAGCUAAAAAUGUUUUAUUCUCUUCACUGAAGCUUUCGGGAAUAUAUGCUCCAUUGAAGCAAUUAGACAAAUUUGCUUUUCUGUCCAGAAAGGAAGACCAGUGGGACAUGUCUAAGAAAACUUCUAACAUCUGCAUUUCCCUUAGACUUUGAGUACACCUGCAGGGAUGGGGGCAGACUUGUUUCAUUUCAGGAAAAGAAGAAUGAUCAUCAAAGGCAAAUGGCAGUUGCUAUGCAGCAACACCAAGAACUGGCUUCACGCUCCAGAGAAAAUGCUGUGCCUCCUCCUGGUGGUUUCCGGUGCUCCACAUGUUCAAAGAAAUUACCCGGAAAUGUAGAAAUGAUCCCUGAAAGUAUAGUCUUCCAGUAAUGUUUCUUUUAGCAAAAGGAUCCAAUCUAAGAUCUCAUGUGUUUUAGUUUUCUUCAAUGUGGAAAAGUUCCUCAGUCUUUGCUUGACUUCCAUGACUUUGAUAUUUUGAAGGGUACAUGGUAGUUAUUUUAUAAAAUGAUCCGAAUUUCUCAAUUUGAAAUUAUUCAAUAUUUCCUUAUGAUUAGAUAGAGGUUACACAUCUUUGGCAGAAAUGUCACAGAAAUAAGCCUGUGUCCUCUUUGCAUUGUAUGGGGAAGACACAUGUCAGUUUGGCCCAUUACAAAUGAUGUGAACUUUGAUCACUUGGUUAAGGUUUUUCCACUGAAAAGUAUUCUUCUUUCUCAUUGUAAUUAAUAAGUAUUUUAUAGGGCUAUGAGAUGUAAGUAUCCCAUUCCUCAUUAAACUUGCCACACUUGUUUUAGUGUGGCAGCCCAUUGAU
This is a long non-coding RNA of Homo sapiens (human), 1646 nucleotides long. Ensembl annotates it as ZSCAN16 antisense RNA 1. Its record names the gene ZSCAN16-AS1. Lineage: Eukaryota; Metazoa; Chordata; Mammalia; Primates; Hominidae. The record is from Ensembl.